GGUGACUCCAACGGUUGGCUGAGGACGAUUCCCUGAGCCUUGACAAAGCAGGAGCCCUCCGUGGCGGUGCGUCGGUGUCGAGGCUCCAGUCUGACUAAUCCAGGGGGUCGACAAAACAGAUUCGGGACACUAUGCUACACGGAGGGCCUACCAGGAUGCAGAAACAGCAGACGGAGUCCAGGGAAAGCAGUGCGGCAUCCCAGCCUCAGGCCUGCCCGUACGGUGUUCGGAAAUACUAGGCUUUAGAAUUUCACCAUAUGAAUUUUGGGAGAGAGGAGCACAGUUCAGCCCAUAACUAACACACGCAAGACAAAUCUCUCCUCUGCCUUCUCCUUAUCAGACUACUCAACAUGAAGGCAAUAAGAAUGAAGACCUCUAUGUAUAAUAAUUGACUUCCACUUAAUAAAUACCUGAACAGAUGUUGAGUACAAGCUGAUCCACCUACGUUCAACCUGAGAGAGUCCACAUCCACAGACUGUUUCAUUUCCCUUUUUCAAUUUACAUAGAAGCAUAGAUUCUUGCUGGCAUAUACAAAUGCGCCAUUUAAGGCAAUCAAAAAUGGUUCCACAUCUCAUCUGAUUUCCACAAUUGUUGCUGUAACGAUGGACUACUGAGGAGAGAGACAAUUUCUCUGGCACAUCUUCCCACAUUUUAGCAACAUGUUCAUGGAGAGCCAAUAUUCAGUAAUUACAGCCCAAUUCCUCACAAUUUCACAAUUCGCUAACAAUAUGCAUUUUCACAAUGUAAAGCUGAUUUUCCUUUAACCAAAUCAAACAUGAAAAGAUAGCUGCAUGCAAUGGGCAAUCUAGAUCAUUAGAAGAUUGAUGUAAAAUUAGAGGACACUGAGACUGGAAUAGAUUGCAAACUUCAGGGAGCUCAGAAAACUUGUAAACUCUACAUUUUGAGGAAAUAUGUUGUCGAUGCUUUUGCAACUCUAUGCAGUAACUUAACAAAUAAAGCCUUAAAGUAACUU
RNAcentral lists this long non-coding RNA (973 nucleotides) under Homo sapiens (human). RNAcentral's name for it is "MIR663A host gene". The record is from RNAcentral. Lineage: Eukaryota; Metazoa; Chordata; Mammalia; Primates; Hominidae.